UGUGUUUGUGUGUGUGUGUGUGUGUGUGUGUGUGUGUGUGUGUGCGCGCGCUCACGUGCAUGCACACUCCUAC
Molecule: microRNA precursor, 73 nt
Filed under: Erinaceus europaeus (western European hedgehog)
Lineage: Eukaryota; Metazoa; Chordata; Mammalia; Eulipotyphla; Erinaceidae
Description: miRNA (ENSEEUG00000019492.1)
Source: RNAcentral